GACGAACGCUGGCGGCGUGCUUAACACAUGCAAGUCGAACGCUGAAGCUCAGCUUUUGUUGGGUGGAUGAGUGGCGAACGGGUGAGUAACACGUGAGUAACCUGCCCCCUUCUUUGGGAUAACGCCCGGAAACGGGUGCUAAUACUGGAUAUUCACUGGUCUUCGCAUGGGGGCUGGUGGAAAGGGUUUUUCUGGUGGGGGAUGGGCUCGCGGCCUAUCAGCUUGUUGGUGGGGUGAUGGCCUACCAAGGCUUUGACGGGUAGCCGGCCUGAGAGGGUGACCGGUCACAUUGGGACUGAGAUACGGCCCAGACUCCUACGGGAGGCAGCAGUGGGGAAUAAUGCACAAUGGGCGCAAGCCUGAUGCAGCGACGCCGCGUGAGGGAUGGAGGCCUUCGGGUUGUGAACCUCUUUCGCUCAUGGUCAAGCCGCAACAAUGGUUGUGGUGAGGGUAGUGGGUAAAGAAGCGCCGGCUAACUACGUG
Molecule: ribosomal RNA, 483 nt
Filed under: uncultured bacterium
Lineage: Bacteria
Description: partial 16S ribosomal RNA
Rfam family: Bacterial small subunit ribosomal RNA
Source: RNAcentral